Molecule: ribosomal RNA, 372 nt
Filed under: uncultured bacterium
Lineage: Bacteria
Description: partial 16S ribosomal RNA
Rfam family: Bacterial small subunit ribosomal RNA
Source: RNAcentral
AUACGGAGGAUCCGAGCGUUAUCCGGAUUUAUUGGGUUUAAAGGGUGCGCAGGCGGCCAUUUAAGUCAGCGGUUAAAUCGUGGGGCUCAACCCCAUUCUGCCGUUGAUACUGGGUGGCUUGAUUGCGGUCGAGGUUGGCGGAAUUCGUUGUGUAGCGGUGAAAUGCAUAGAUAUGACGAAGAACACCGAUUGCGUAGGCAGCUGACCAGACCGCAAAUGACGCUCAUGCACGAAAGUGCGGGGAUCGAACAGGAUUAGAUACCCUGGUAGACCGCACAGUAAACGAUGAAUACUUGUUUUCGGCGAUAUAAUGUCGGAGGCAAAGCGAAAGCGAUAAGUAUUCCACCUGGGGAGUACGCCGGCAACGGUGAA